GUGGGGAAUUUUGGACAAUGGGGGCAACCCUGAUCCAGCGACGCCGCGUGGAGGAUGAAGGUCUUCGGAUUGUAAACUCCUUUUAGAGGGGAAGAAUGCUUCGGUGAAUAGCCGGAGGUGACGGUACCCUCGGAAUAAGCCACGGCUAACUUCGUGCCAGCAGCCGCGGUAAUACGAAGGUGGCAAGCGUUACUCGGAAUUACUAGGCGUAAAGCGCAAGUAGGCGGUUCGGUAAGUCUUUUGUGAAAGCUCCCGGCUUAACUGGGAGAGGCCAAGGGAAACUGCCGGGCUCGAGUGUGGUAGAGGAAGCUGGAAUUCCCGGUGUAGCGGUGAAAUGCGUAGAGAUCGGGAGGAAUACCUAUGGCGAAAGCAGGCUUCUGGGCCAUCACUGACGCUGAGUUGCGAAAGCUAGGGGAGCAAACAGGAUUAGAUACCCCGGUAGUCC
RNAcentral lists this ribosomal RNA (445 nucleotides) under uncultured bacterium. RNAcentral's name for it is "bacterial SSU rRNA". It matches the Rfam family "Bacterial small subunit ribosomal RNA", at positions 354 to 796 of the family's 1533-position model. The record is from RNAcentral.